Seriola aureovittata is the source of this 1372-nucleotide long non-coding RNA. RefSeq lists it as uncharacterized. Lineage: Eukaryota; Metazoa; Chordata; Actinopteri; Carangiformes; Carangidae. The transcript is spliced from 3 exons. The record is from RefSeq and is a predicted model, not a curated record.
CGUUAGCCUGGGGCUGGCUAGGCUACAUUUUUGAGACAUGUCCAAAAAAAAGUAGAAAAUGUUUUUACAUUGAAUGAUGUGACCUAAUUAACUGCAUAGUCCUACUUGUGACAGCAUAUUAGCCCAGAGUUGAAGGGCUGUGAAAGUUGGUAGUUGUGGUUGAUUUUGUUUAAAUAUGCCGAAUUGUGAUAUUAUGGGUUAUUAUUGUUCAGAUGAUUUAGCUAAGCUAGCUAAGAGCUGCUAACAUCAGUAGUCUCUUGUUGCCAUAGCAACAGUAAACAUUCACAUGGACCAAUGAGCUGUAAGUAGAGAUGCAGAAUCAAGCUGUAUUGUAAAUACAGAUGAGAUACUUUGAAUUUUAGCACAAAAUACAAGUAAACCUAUAGGAAAUAAUUAGUUUAAUUUGCAAUAUUUGCCAUUGAAUUUAUUGUAAUCUUUCAAUUCAUUUAUUGUUUACUGAGGUGAUAACUAUUUCAUAAUUUGUGUGUAACUUUAAUUUGUGUGUAAAUGUGUUACUUUUACUGUAGUUUUCAAAUGGCUGUGUAUAUAUAAGUAUAUGUCUCUUUUAGGUUGACCACCCUAUAUAUGAGAGCCUAAGGAGUUGUUUUCCCUCUGUCCCUUUUUGAGGACCUCCUUUGUCUCCUCCAUCAUUCACUGGGCCACUUUUGGGUUCCUGAGCUCAUUUCAUGUGGUUUUCCUGAACUGCUAGAAGUUCUUCUAUGAUGCUUGAGUCAUCCAUCAUAUCUGAGAGCUUCGUCUUGACUUUGUCAUGAAUUUGGUGAGGAGCGGAGCUGGCUGGCUGCGGACGAGGAAGUAGGGCAAUACAUACUUGUGCACAUACACGUAUAUGAGAAUGCAUAUCUAUUCAGACCUGUAACCCAUGUCUUAGACUUUUUCACACAGCUAUAUAUAUUUUUUUUUCUCACCGUUGAGCGAGUGAGUUUCAGCUCUAAUGCUGCUACUGUCUGUAAUAUGUUUCUAUUUAGAUUAUUUGUCAGGAUAUUUUUUUGUUAUUAUUGUCCGAGUCUGGUUUUAACUAAUGCUGGGCUUACAGACUAAAAACUGAAAGGGUAGCAUAAAGGUUCUUCCCGUUAGUCUCGUCCCACCCCUAGUCAUGACAUAACUUCUGUUAUGAUUUGACACUAUAAUGAAUAAAGAUUGAUUGAUUGAUUGCUAUAGCUGUCAAUUUUAGUCCUUGAGUUCAUAGUUAAGUGCUUUAUUUGUUAACUGCUAUCAAGGAAUAUGACUCUUCUUUGUAGUAUGCAUGAGAGAAGAUGCCGCGAGAUUAGUGGACUUCUAUGUAGUGUCCGCUGAUAAUGUAGUGGGCUGGUCUGGACAGAAAAUGCCAGGGCUGAAUUUUUGUCCCAGUCCA